AGUGAACGCUGGCGGUAGGCCUAACACAUGCAAGUCGAACGGCAGCACAGUAAGCGUUUGCUCUUAAGGGUGGCGGGUGGCGGACGGGUGAGGCAUACAUCGGAUUCUACUUUUUCGUGGGGGACAACGUAGGGAAGCUUACGCUAAUACCGCAUACGACCUACGGGUGAAAGCAGGGGAUAUUCGGACCUUGCGCGAUUGAAUGAGCCGAUGUCGGAUUAGCUAGUUGGCGGGGUAAAGGCCCACCAAGGCGACGAUCCGUAGCUGGUCUGAGAGGAUGAUCAGCCACACUGGAACUGAGACACGGUCCAGACUCCUACGGGAGGCAGCAGUGGGGAAUAUUGGACAAUGGGCGCAAGCCUGAUCCAGCCAUACCGCGUGGGUGAAGAAGGCCUUCGGAUUGUAAAGCCCUUUUGUUGGGAAAGAAAAGCAGCAGGUUAAUACCCCGCUGUUCUGACGGUACCCAAAGAAUAAGCACCGGCUAACUUCGUG
This 492-nucleotide ribosomal RNA is filed under the name uncultured bacterium. Its description in RNAcentral is "partial 16S ribosomal RNA". It matches the Rfam family "Bacterial small subunit ribosomal RNA", at positions 29 to 507 of the family's 1533-position model. The record is from RNAcentral.